This 253-nucleotide ribosomal RNA is filed under the name uncultured bacterium. RNAcentral describes it as "partial 16S ribosomal RNA". It matches the Rfam family "Bacterial small subunit ribosomal RNA", at positions 524 to 776 of the family's 1533-position model. The record is from RNAcentral.
UACGGAGGGUGCAAGCGUUAAUCGGAAUUACUGGGCGUAAAGCGUGCGCAGGCGGUUUGUUAAGUCCGCUGUGAAAUCCCCGAGCUCAACUUGGGAAUUGCAGUGGAUACUGGCAAGCUGGAGUAUGGUAGAGGAAGGUGGAAUUCCCGGUGUAGCAGUGAAAUGCGUAGAGAUCGGGAGGAACACCUGUGGCGAAAGCGGCUCACUGGACCACAACUGACGCUGAGGCGCGAAAGCUAGGGGAGCAAACAGG